RNAcentral lists this ribosomal RNA (540 nucleotides) under Triticum aestivum (bread wheat). Its description in RNAcentral is "partial small subunit ribosomal RNA". The record is from RNAcentral. Lineage: Eukaryota; Viridiplantae; Streptophyta; Magnoliopsida; Poales; Poaceae.
AUGCUCACCAUUAUAGUAUUCCUCUCCUUAGCUUUCUAUGUGCUUUUCUUAAAUGUCAACAGCCUGGAUAACCUACUAAUUAAUAUCUGCACACUGCAGGAUGAGGUGGCAAGCAUGGAAGUAACCCACAGCCACUUUUCUUCAUAUGCGGCAUGGUACAAACAAUAUGAGAAUUCACGGCACGGUUCUGAGGCAGUACCAGCGAUUGUCAAAAUACCUUACAGGAUGGUGUUGGAUGUUCUUUUAGAGACUCUGGGCCUUCCAGAAGUUGAGUACCGAACCAGAGUAUAUGAUGGCAGCAGGGUGUGUGUGACUGUAUUGUUCUAUAGAACCACAUCAUAUGUUGGGAAUGAUAUUCCUGGGGUACAAUUUGUUGAUCAAUCAAUGCCAGAAGACAGUGCUGCUAUGGAAGCAAUUGGAUACAUUAAAUGCACAGUGAAGACAGAGAUAACAGACUAUAACUACAGCACCAUGAAGAAACUCGAGGAGGAAAAUCGGUCUCUAAAACAUGAGCUUUAUAUAUCUAGGUACAACAAGUAG